AUUGAACGCUGGCGGCAUGCCUUACACAUGCAAGUCGAACGGCAGCACGGACUUCGGUCUGGUGGCGAGUGGCGAACGGGUGAGUAAAGUAUCGGAACGUACCAUUGAGUGGGGGAUAACUAUCCGAAAGGAUAGCUAAUACCGCAUAUUCUCUCCGGAGGAAAGCAGGGGACCGCAAGGCCUUGCGCUCAUUGAGCGGCCGAUAUCAGAUUAGCUAGUUGGUGAGGUAAAGGCUCACCAAGGCGACGAUCUGUAGCGGGUCUGAGAGGAUGAUCCGCCACACUGGAACUGAGACACGGUCCAGACUCCUACGGGAGGCAGCAGUGGGGAAUUUUGGACAAUGGGGGCAACCCUGAUCCAGCCAUGCCGCGUGAGUGAAGAAGGCCUUCGGGUUGUAAAGCUCUUUCGGCCGGGAAAAAAUCGCAUGGGUUAAUACCCUGUGUGGAUGAUGGUACCGGAAUAAGAAGCACCGGCUAACUACGUGCCAGCAGCCGCGGUAAUACGUAGGGUGCGAGCGUUAAUCGGAAUUACUGGGCGUAAAGCGUGCGCAGGCGGUUUUAUAAGCCAGAUGUGAAAGCCCCGGGCUCAACCUGGGAAUGGCAUUUGGGACUGU
RNAcentral lists this ribosomal RNA (613 nucleotides) under uncultured Pseudomonadota bacterium. RNAcentral's name for it is "bacterial SSU rRNA". It matches the Rfam family "Bacterial small subunit ribosomal RNA", at positions 28 to 636 of the family's 1533-position model. The record is from RNAcentral. Lineage: Bacteria; Pseudomonadati; Pseudomonadota.